GUGUAAGUGGCUACUCAAAUGUGUUUAAUAAUUAAUAAAAGCUUGGAAAAUAAAAGAAGAAAACAUCCACUUCAUCCGGGACUCCUGUCUACAGCCGCUGUCAGCAAUGCUGAUGGAUCUCAACUUCUUUUGCUUCUCAAGUGGUCCAUUUGGACUUGGACUUUGCUCCUAGAAAAGUUUUUCAGGAUAUUCUAAAGUCAUCCUGCUAAACACCAAUUCUGCCAGAUGCUAACAGAUCCAGAGGAGACUGCCAUUAAACUACAUAUUUUUAUUUAUGGAAUCAUGCAUGUUAUCAGAGCCCAAAGGAAAAAUCCAAAACCCUCUGAGUGGAUGAUGAGACACAUUCUCUGAGGAUGUUUUCCCUUCUCACCCCAGGAAUCAGUGGUUCUCCACCAUCAUGGAUGUAGAACCUUCUAUCUCCCACUGACAAAGCAGAGGGACCUCAGGCUGAGAUAUCAUGCCUCCUGAAGAACAAAUACUUUCUGAGUAAGAGUAGAAUUGAUGAGUGCUCUGACCUCUGUUCUGAGAUCCCUGGAAAUCAGAUAGGUAAUAAACCAGCAAUGCUGACUACUAGAAAUAGCAAAAAUAUUCACCCAAGUCCACG
Molecule: long non-coding RNA, 604 nt
Filed under: Chinchilla lanigera (long-tailed chinchilla)
Lineage: Eukaryota; Metazoa; Chordata; Mammalia; Rodentia; Chinchillidae
Description: lncRNA (ENSCLAG00000027104.1)
Source: RNAcentral